Gavialis gangeticus (Gharial) is the source of this 1377-nucleotide long non-coding RNA. RefSeq lists it as uncharacterized. The transcript is spliced from 2 exons. NCBI's taxonomy places the organism in Eukaryota, Metazoa, Chordata, Crocodylia, Gavialidae. The record is from RefSeq and is a predicted model, not a curated record.
GUGAUGUACAGCAUCAUAAAGGGGUAAGGACUUUUAGUGCCAUGGAGAGCUAGAAACCUACAGUAGCCUCAUACUAAGAGUAGUCACCUCUGGAGAGCCAUCAAAUGAAAAUGCACUGUGAUUUGUUCUGAAGUCUUCUAAGACAACAUUCCUCAGGACUGAGGAAUCGGAUGAACUAGGGGCUUGCAGACAGCAAGGAUGUUACUUUACUCCUGGGUUAAUUUAGGUUUUUCAUCCGUGUUGGAGCCUCUUUUGCUGCUCAUCCACAUAUAAAAACCUUUCAUCCACAUUUAACAUGAUUUUCAAUGGGCAUUAUCUGGCAUGGCUGGACAUAUGGGUAAUAUCCAGAAUCUGCUUUCACUCGGGCUGCUCCACUUAGAAAUGAAGUUAAAUCACUGAAGAGUUCAUAGUUAUAUAGUGCCUUCCACAAUACUGCAGAUAUGUCCAGAAAAUCAGAACAUUUUUCCCACAAGCUACUAAGAAUCAAGGGAUGAUUCACCAGUCUGCAGCACAAAGUACAUACAAUAUACACCUAAAAGUCUAGUGUCACAAAGGUGUACCAUCAGGGAUUGUUCACAUACAGGCUACGCUCAAAGCCGGGUGUCAGGUAAGGUCUCUCUGAUGUCAACUGAAUGCUUACCUUAAAUAAGUGCAGGAGCAAAAACAAGCCAUUAGCACCUUAACUGUCAGACAGUUCAAGGUAACAAGGUAGCAUCUUGGCAUGGAGGGGGUGCUCAAAAGUAAAUUUUAUAUAUAAUAUAUAAUCAUAAUUGCCACUCACCAUAGAAGUCGAUGACUGUAUGGAGCAGAACUAGAACUACCUUGGGUGAAAUCUGGAUCCCACAGUAGUAGUUACUGGAAAUUUGGACUUCUGCCAUAUGUACACCAGAUAAAUAUGAUUUGUUUAUGUGACUCUAAAUUAAAUCUGGAUGGCAAUUUUUAUUUUAAGAUUCUUCUAAGGAAAACCCAAAUUUCAGGUUUUGCCUUUCUGAAUAACUGCUUCUACUGGCCAAAAAGAGGUCCAAAAUCCUCUGGAAGGAUUAUUAAAUUAUGAAAAAAAUGGUGCUAGAAGUAAUUAAUCCUUUGUACAAAUGACAAAUACUUACCUAACAUUUGUAUAAUAUCUGGAACAUGAAAUGCUUAGACUAUUUAAACUUAGAUUUAUAAGUUACCUCAUCACAAAUAAGAACAAACCAACCCCCAAACAUGGCAGUUUUUCAAUUGCGUAGCAUGAAUUCCAUUUAUCCACAACUUCCAGGACAUUACUAAUAAAAGUAAUUAGAUUUUAGGUUUCUCAAUUUUUUUUCAGCUUGAGACAACCUUAAAGGGCUCUGUUCAUGAAAAUCAGAACCUUUGAAUAUAUAUCAAGUUGAACAC